This 750-nucleotide ribosomal RNA is filed under the name uncultured methane-oxidizing archaeon. RNAcentral describes it as "bacterial SSU rRNA". It matches the Rfam family "Archaeal small subunit ribosomal RNA", at positions 105 to 859 of the family's 1478-position model. The record is from RNAcentral.
CAACUUACCCUUAGGACUGGGAUAACUCCUGGGAAACUGGAGAUAAUACCGGAUAGAGCAUCGAAUGCUGGAAUGCACGAUGUUCAAAAGCUGAGGUGCCUAAGGAUAGGUCUGCGGCCGAUUAGGUUGUUGUUGAUGUGAUGGAUUAACAAGCCUACGAUCGGUAUGGGUUGUGAGAGCAAUAGCCCAGAGAUGGGUUCUGAGAAAAGAACCCAGGUCCUACGGGACGCAUCAGGCGCGAAAACUUUACAAUGUGCGAAAGCACGAUAAGGGAACUCUGAGUGCCUCCUACGGAGGCUGUUCAGUUGUCUAAAACGCAUCUGAAGGAAGGGCUGGGUAAGACCGGUGCCAGCCGCCGCGGUAACACCGGCAGCCCAAGUGGUAGCCAUGUUUAUUGGGUCUAAAGCGUCCGUAGCCGGCCACGUAAGUUCCUUGGGAAAUUURAUCGCUUAACGGUYAAGCUUUCGGGGAAUACUGCUUGGCUUGGGACCGGGAGAGGUCAGAGGUACUCYAAGGGUAGGGGUGAAAUCCAUUAAUCCUUGGGGGACCACCGGUAGCGAAGGCGUCUGACCAGACCGGAUCCGACGGUGAGGGACGAAGGCUAGGGUCACGAACCGGAUUAGAUACCCGGGUAGUCCUAGCUGUAAACGAUGCGGGCCAGGUGUUGGCAUUACUGCGAGUGAUGCCAGUGCCGAAGGGAAGCCGUUAAGCCCGCCAUCUGGGGAGUACGGUCGCAAGGCUGAAACUUAA